GGCUUUGCUUCGUUACCCGUAUGUUCGGCAGCCGACCUCUGUGAAGUGGGGACGGGUGUCAUGGGCAAGACUCCGUUAACGUAUUUUAAAGUGUUGGUCUCAGUUUUUUGACCCUUUCGUUAUUUGGAAGCUAUCCCGUGAGCAGAAGGGACAAAAAACAACUUUCCUACACUGGGCUUGCUUUUGUGGUUUGGAAGUUAAUCUUAGCUCGGCGACACCAACCGCGGAAGAAGCAAGGAGAUGUCCUAUUACUCUUCAUCCCGGAGUUCAUCCCGGGCCACUGACUGUAAGGUCUACGUAGGUGACUUGGGCAACGGUGCCGCCAAAGGAGAAUUGGAGCGGGCCUUUAGCUACUAUGGUCCGCUAAGGACCGUCUGGGUGGCCAGAAACCCGCCAGGUUUUGCCUUUGUCGAGUUUGAAGACCCAAGAGAUGCAGAGGAUGCUGUGAAAGGCAUGGAUGGAAAGCUACUGUGUGGGUCUCGUGUGCGUGUGGAGAUGUCGACAGGCAUGUCCAGGAAGGGCCGCGGACGCCCCAGCCGACGCCAGUUUGACCCGAACGAUCGCUGCUACCAAUGCGGAGAUCGUGGCCAUUACGCAUACGACUGCUAUCGUUUCAGCAAGCGAGGAGGCCGUCGCAGCAGGUCUCGGACCCGCUCUCGGUCACGUUCCAGGUCUCGAUCCCGUGGCCGUCGCUACCGAUCCCGUUCUCAUUCCCGCAGCCGUAGCCGCAGCAGGAGCCGUCGCCGCUCUCCAUCCUACUCCAGGCGCAGGAGCAGGUCUGGCUCUCCAGCCCGUUCCAAGUCUAGGACUCCAAUGAGAAGUCGCUCUAGGUCUCGAUCUCGGUCCAGGUCUGCACCAAGAGGGCGUUCCGCCUCCCGUUCCCGCUCCCGAUCCCCGUCGACCAAUCACAAGAGGAACAGUGAGUGCUGGGAGCUGCGCACUGCGCUGACACUACAGCUGAUCCCAGGCCCAAGGUCUGCCAGCUGGCGGUGUUUACGUCCUGCGGGAGGGUGACUAAGCGCUGACCUGAGAUCAGCCUUCGCCUGGCAUUAGACAGCGAGAACCUCCCCCCGCAGAGUGAUUGGGUGACCUUCUGUCCGACCAACGCACACGCUCAGACGAGAUCAGCCCGCGCACUCUUACAGUUGUUCUCCUAGAGUCACCCAAGGCCAGCCAGCCGGCAGAUCUACCAGAGCGCCGACACGAACAAUUCAGAGUUCGACCAUUAAAAUUCCAUUACCUACCUACCUACCUACCAGACACCCCCUACUACGUACCUACCAGAGCUCUGCGGCCUUUGUGUUAGCUUCUGAAAAUGAGAGUGAGCUGACCAGAGAUCGGUCUUCAAGAGCGUAGUCAUCCGUCCUUCAGUGCUUUCAUCCUUCGCUUCUCUGUACUUGUUGUUUCUGCCAGUGUCUCCAAAGUCGUUCCCGCUCAGCAAGUCAAAACCGAAGUCCAACCCCAGCCGCCAACUGAUUGAAGAACAAGACCACUGCAUCCCCUUCCCCGCUGCCUAACCCCGUCCACCCAUACAGCAGCUCUCAACGUUUUCAUACAAUGUUUCAUUUCUUUGAUGUACGAUGUGCAGGUUGGAAGUGUGUCCUCUUGACACUAAACAUCAAUUUUGUAGUAGUUGGACAAAUAUUGUAGUGGACUUUUUUUUUUUUUAAUUCAUUCAAACACUUGGACUUCCUAGUAUAACAUGCUUUGAACUUUUUUAUGAAGCAGAUCCUGGCCUGCAUUGCCUCAUAAUUUUCAUUGUGCUGCACUGCCCCCCCCCCCCCCCCCCCCCCCAAACUACAAAGUUUGUGCAAAAUGGGUCUAAUUCUUUUGGCUUUGCGUUUGUUCCUGUGUAGUAUCUUUAUUUUUAGCUUUGUGUGUGAUUUAUUUCCAUUUUCAGGAAGGGCUGCUUGAACUGUUGGUCCUGCUUCUGUUAAGCCAAUGGCAGUUUUAUUUUUAAAUAAAAAUCACCAACAUGA
RNA transcript from Corythoichthys intestinalis (scribbled pipefish), 1979 nucleotides. It is a transcript of the gene named serine and arginine rich splicing factor 7a, with no coding region annotated. The transcript has 9 exons. NCBI's taxonomy places the organism in Eukaryota, Metazoa, Chordata, Actinopteri, Syngnathiformes, Syngnathidae. The record is from RefSeq and is a predicted model, not a curated record.